RNAcentral lists this ribosomal RNA (468 nucleotides) under uncultured bacterium. RNAcentral's name for it is "bacterial SSU rRNA". It matches the Rfam family "Bacterial small subunit ribosomal RNA", at positions 335 to 800 of the family's 1533-position model. The record is from RNAcentral.
ACUCCUACGGGAGGCAGCAGUGAGGAAUAUUGGGCAAUGGAGGCAACUCUGACCCAGCCAUGCCGCGUGCAGGAAUAAGGUCCUAUGGAUUGUAAACUGCUUUUAUACAGGAAGAAACCUCUCUACGUGUAGGGACUUGACGGUACUGUAUGAAUAAGCACCGGCUAACUCCGUGCCAGCAGCCGCGGUAAUACGGAGGGUGCAAGCGUUAUCCGGAAUCAUUGGGCGUAAAGAGCUCGUAGGCGGUUUGUCACGUCUGCUGUGAAAAUCCAAGGCUCAACCUUGGACUUGCAGUGGGUACGGGCAGGCUAGAGUGCGGUAGGGGAGAUGGGAAUUCCUGGUGUAGCGGUGGAAUGCGCAGAUAUCAGGAGGAACACCAAUGGCGAAGGCACAUCUCUGGGCCGUAACUGACGCUGAGGAGCGAAAGCGUGGGGAGCGAAACAGGAUUAGAUACCCUGUAGGUCAGUC